AAGAACACAAAAGGAGAGAAUUUCAUAAUGUUUUCAAAGGGACUGGGGCAGAGACAGCCCAUAUGCUUCUCUUGAAGAGGAGACAUCAGGAGAGGAGGAAGAUGCUGUUGUUAUAUCCAGAUGUCAUCCAAGAUAGUGGACUCAAGUAUCCGAGCCUGUUAGGAUGCUGCUCUUGGUCUUAUGAUAAGUCCUCCAUUCUCUACAGAUAUGUACAAUUUGCAAGCAGGAAAUAAAGAUAUUUGAACAUGGCACAGAGUUUCUUCCUUCAAUCCCAAGGAACACACAGAGAGAAGUAUAGAAGCAGACCUUCUCUAAACUGGUCCCAGGCACUGUAGGGCUUGAAAGGAAGGACUAUUUUGGAUUGGGCUCAGAAGAAGACCAAUCUAGAGCUUAGAUUUGUUGAGGAAUGCAUUUAAAAGUAUGCAAUACAAGUUGUCACCCGCUCGUUUGCUGGUGACUCAGGACCAGGCCUUCUCUGUGGCUGCCCCGGGGCUUUGGAAUAUGCUCCCUGUCGACAUAACAGCAUCUGAUUGCCUUUAAGAAGACCAUCAACUGUUUUCUCAGGCUUUUAACUGAAAUUAAUUUUAAACUGUUUAAUUGCUUUUAUCCUAUGAAAUUGUUUUAACUUUUUCAUUCUGUGAAAUUGUUUUUACUGUUUUAUAUUUGUUGUGUUAAAUUGUGUACACUGCCUAGAGAUACACAUAUCAGGCGGCAGAUAGAUAGAUAGAUAGAUCUGUUGUGAUCACUAUGAACCUGACCAAAUAAUGCUAAUGUUUCCUAAUGAUGUGCAUAGUCCCCUUAUCAGACAAUUCCAUUGCAGGGGUGGAGUCUCAGACCUGUGAUCUGAAGAGUUGGGGGAUGGGGUAGGAGAGAAACAGGCAUUUUUGUUUCGAGUUUUGAAAGUAGAUGCUGGCAAGACAGCUUAGAGUGUAUUUUAUUUGUUUGUUUGUUUGAUUUUUAUACUGCCCACCCAAAUGGCUAACAAAUAUAAAACCAGCUAAAAAACAAAUUCCUCAUUAAACCCAGUUUAAAAUCAUUUCAGUACUCACUAAAGGCCAGUUCUAGCCAAAGUUAGGUGGACCUGGAAGUGUAGCUCUGGAGGGAGUGCACAAGUUAUUCUCUGGGGAUCUGCUGCAUGCUGUGUGAGUGCCAUCACUGCAUAUAAUCAUUGUAAAAAUAAAUAUUUAUAU
Long non-coding RNA from Hemicordylus capensis (graceful crag lizard), 1190 nucleotides. RefSeq lists it as uncharacterized. NCBI's taxonomy places the organism in Eukaryota, Metazoa, Chordata, Lepidosauria, Squamata, Cordylidae. The record is from RefSeq and is a predicted model, not a curated record. The transcript has 4 exons.